Long non-coding RNA from Galleria mellonella (greater wax moth), 759 nucleotides. RefSeq lists it as uncharacterized. Lineage: Eukaryota; Metazoa; Arthropoda; Insecta; Lepidoptera; Pyralidae. The record is from RefSeq and is a predicted model, not a curated record. The transcript has 3 exons.
UAUAUCUGAAAUCAAAUAACUGAAAAACAACUUAUGUCCUAUUUAUAAUUUACUGUUUCAUAUUUGCGGUUUUAUUAGUGUAUGUCGCUGAUAUGAUAACCUAUCACUCCAGUGACAUUGAAAGUGAAAUGUAUACCUAUUUAUGAAAAUACAUCUUUCAAUUGUAGUGAUGACUUAUAGAAUCGAAACAUUGUCAUUUACAGUGCUGGGUAUAUGAACUUCCUAAUAGCUCAGCGUGUUAGAGGACAUGCUUGGUGUUUUGCUGCGUGAUAAAAUCUGAAUGUCCGUAGAAGAAAAAAAAAGUAACUGAAUAUAAAAAUGAAACAUAUAAGAGAUGGUGCUACUUGAAUAUGGGGUGAAUAAUAGCAUUGAAAAUGAUGAUGUAAAAUGAAAUGAUCGAAUUGAACACUGAACAGCAACGCGGGCGAACCUGGAGGCUACUGUCGAAACUGAUACUGCUCUCGAACCGAAACUUUUCCAUCAGAGAGCUCGAGAUGCUCGCAAACAUCUCGCCACGCGGGUUACUCUGCAAUCAUGAUCCUGCAAUGGCAUCGUUAAGCGGAGCAACGCCCAAGACCCUGCGCUUGAUAGCAGUUAUGAGCGUGUACUAUAAAAUUUACUUUUAGUAUAUCUAUAUUUAAAACAUGGAUUUUCUAAACAUUUAUUUACUCAUAAUAUAAAUGUGAUAAUGUUCCCAAUUACAUUUUUUUUUAUAAAGGUGAUUUACAUAUUUCACUGAUACAUACUGGCACUAUUACU